Molecule: ribosomal RNA, 253 nt
Filed under: uncultured bacterium
Lineage: Bacteria
Description: partial 16S ribosomal RNA
Rfam family: Bacterial small subunit ribosomal RNA
Source: RNAcentral
UACGGAGGGGGCUAGCGUUGUUCGGAAUUACUGGGCGUAAAGCGCACGUAGGCGGAUUGUUUAGUUAGGGGUGAAAUCCCGGGGCUCAACCCCGGAACUGCCUUUAAUACUGGCAAUCUAGAGUCCGAGAGAGGUGAGUGGAAUUCCGAGUGUAGAGGUGAAAUUCGUAGAUAUUCGGAGGAACACCAGUGGCGAAGGCGGCUCACUGGCUCGGUACUGACGCUGAGGUGCGAAAGCGUGGGGAGCAAACAGG